Camellia sinensis is the source of this 953-nucleotide non-coding RNA. The record is from RefSeq and is a predicted model, not a curated record. NCBI's taxonomy places the organism in Eukaryota, Viridiplantae, Streptophyta, Magnoliopsida, Ericales, Theaceae.
UUGAUUAAUCUAUGGCAACACAUCGAAUCCAAUAUGGCAACUCUUGUCCAUUCAUUGCUCUCCAUUACUACUACUUGUAUAAAUACUAGUACUAUUACCCUAAUAAACCCUUACUCUUCUUCUUCUUCUUCUUCUUCUGCUUUUCCUCUUCACCAGCUACGCCUCAUUCCUUCAAUCAACCACAACACAAGAACAACACUCAACAUGUCUCUGCCUAAUUCACAAAAUCCUGUGAAUGUUUCAGUAAUGCCGGCGUCGCAACAGAAAAUCACAAUACCAAACAAGUUUGGCGAAAAACUUGUUGGCAUACUACAUGAAACUGGAUCUGUGGAGAUUGUGAUAUUGUGCCAUGGUUUUCGAUCCACAAAGGAACGGGACAUUAUGGUGAACGUUGCUGUUGCUUUAGAAAAAGAAGGAAUCACUGCCUUCCGCUUUGACUUUGCUGGAAAUGGGUAAGCUUGUAAAUGAAAGGGUGUAAAAACUGACUUGGAAUUAUUUUUGGUAUGUAACAGGUAUUAUUAAGUGGUUGGUGGUUUGAUAGAUUGAGGCUCAUUUGGGCCGCGUGGAGAAGAAGGAUUCAUGUAGCCGACCCCAUUUGAUGGGACUUAAGGCUUCGUUUGGUUUGGUUUGGUUUGGUUUACUUUUUUUUCUUUUCCCUAGUGGAAUUAUCUUAUAGUGCUAAAAAAUUGCCACCUCCGUAAUAUUAGGAGUCUGUGCAAUGCAGUUAUGUAGAUGUAUGCCGUAUCAUUCACUAAUAACUUUUAACUUGCUUUUUUUAAUCAUGGACCCACUUUAAUAGAAUCUUGGCCUAAUAACCUUGAGAUUGUGGGUUCAAGUCAUAGGGCAACCACUCUGUGCAUUAUGUCAAAGGUUAGGUGUGUACCCAAUCUUUCCCCUCGCAAACACACAUUUAUGUGUACUAAUUGAGCGUUGUUUUUUACCCACUUUAAUAG